Telopea speciosissima is the source of this 1434-nucleotide RNA transcript. It is a transcript of the gene named protein phosphatase methylesterase 1, with no coding region annotated. The record is from RefSeq and is a predicted model, not a curated record. Lineage: Eukaryota; Viridiplantae; Streptophyta; Magnoliopsida; Proteales; Proteaceae. The transcript has 14 exons.
CGAAGUGUCUCUGUAAGGGAAUUAUAUUUUUCCACAAAGAUGGACACUUCGAGUCUCACUUCUCUUCCGGAGGAUAUCUCAGAGGAAGAGCCUCAAAAGCUCUCAGCUUUCUCCAACAUUCCCAAUCGUCCAGCAACGCAGACAUCAUUACAAAAAUACUCCCCUUUAGAAUGGUCUGGAUAUUUCGAUCGAGAGGAGGAUAUUUGCAUUCCAGGUUCAAAUGAUGUAUUUCAUGUAUAUGUAGCAGGAUCUGAAGGACCAGUUGUUUUUUGUCUGCAUGGAGGUGGUUAUUCAGGGCUUUCAUUUGCCUUGGCAGCUAGUAAGAUUAAGGAGAAGGCUCGGGUAGUUGCUAUGGACUUGAGAGGACAUGGGAAGUCAUGCACAGAAAAUGAUUUGGACCUAUCUAUUGAGACUCUAUGCAAUGAUGUUUUGGCUGUUUUGAAGACUUCAUAUGGAGAUACUCCUCCUGCAGUUGUGCUUGUUGGCCACAGCAUGGGAGGUUCAGUUGCAGUGCAUGUUGCUGCAAGGAAGGCAAUUUCAAGCUUGGCUGGGCUGAUUGUUGUAGAUGUUGUAGAGGGAACAGCAAUGGCUUCAUUGAUUCACAUGCAAAAGAUCCUAUCAAGCAGAAUGCAGUAUUUUCACGCCAUUGAAAAAGCGAUUGAAUGGAGUGUGAAAGGUGGCUCUCUAAGGAACAUUGAGUCUGCUCGUCUUUCGGUUCCAUCAACAUUGAAGUAUGACGAUUCAAAGAAAUGUUAUACAUACCGAACACGGCUAGAAGAAACAGAAAGCUAUUGGAGAGGCUGGUAUGAGGGUCUUUCUGAAAAGUUCUUGUCUUGUCCUGUGCCAAAGCUUUUAUUGUUGGCUGGAACUGAUAGACUGGACAGAACCCUUACAAUAGGUCAAAUGCAAGGCAAGUUUCAAAUGGUAGUUGUGCGACACACUGGGCAUGCUAUACAGGAAGAUGCCCCUGAUGAAUUUGCUUCUCUUGUACUUAACUUUAUCUCUCGUAAUCGAAUUGGUCCCCAUGGCAUUGAGGGUAAUGAUACACCAACCUGCUAGUUCUUUUUAUGAGGCACAAACAGGAGAAUUUGUCCUGGAAGUGGAAGAGCUACUUAAACUCUGUGAAACCCUCACAAGAUCCCAGGGCUACGUCGGCCACAACAAUAAUAAUGUUGUGAUUGAUAUCAAACGACUCACGCAGGGGGCACAGUUGCUUGUUUUUGAAAAACAUCUGAGAUGAAAUUGUAAUGUCAAGGCUGAAUCCACUAAUUUUAUUUGUAAGUUCAGGUAGGAUAGCAAUUUAAAGAGGGUUGGAGCAAGCUUUCCAUGCAGAUAUACCCUUUUAAAGUUAGUCUCAACAAGGUUUGUUUGCAUAUUUUGUACACUGGUUUUUUGCUGCACCUGCAAAAGUUAAAUAGAAUGCUUAUUGCACUC